This 5806-nucleotide long non-coding RNA is filed under the name Homo sapiens (human). RNAcentral's name for it is "HSALNT0280504". Lineage: Eukaryota; Metazoa; Chordata; Mammalia; Primates; Hominidae. The record is from RNAcentral.
GGCAAGGUAACAAAAUAACAACAAAAACUGACAAGAAAAUCCAACAAUUAUAACAACAUACUGUAAUAAAAGUUAUGUGAAUGUGGUCUCUUUCUCCUAAAAUAUCUUAUUGUACUGUACUUGGCUUUUUUCGGACUGCAGUUGUCUGUGGGUAGCUGACAUGGCAGAAAGUGAAACUGUGGAUAAGGGGAGACUACUGUUUACCGAUAUGGAAAGAUCUCUAAGAUAUGGUAUUUAGUGAAGUAAACAAGGGGCAAACAAUGUAUAGGCUACCAUUUCUGUAAAAUGGUGGUGGGCUUCAGGAAAACACAGAUUUGUAUUUAUUCGCAUAUGCGUAAAAAAUGUCCAGUAGUGUACACAAGUAAGAAACUAAUAACAUAACAAUGGUCACUCCUUUGAAGGGUUUGGUAAUGGGUGCAAAAACUGUACAGAGGGGACAAUGGUAGCUGAGUAAGUUUUCACUGGAUUCCUUUCUAGGCUUUUGGUUUUGGACCAUGAGAAUGGCUUACAUAUUCAAAAGGUAAGUACAUAUUUUAAAAAUUUAAUUAAACACCACACCCCCAGCCUAAACACUGACAUUGUUCCAAGUCAAUAGAGGGUUGGGGAAUCUGCAUUUUGCAAUGAGCAGCCUGGCUGAUUCUGAUGUAGAUGGUCCAAGGAACCAAGGAACUGUGGGGCACAUAGCCACAGACUAUGUUCAUGCAACAACUAUUUUUUAUUGAACGUUGGAUACAUGUAUCUGUCCAUUUCACAAAUUAUGUUUUAUUAUAUUAAAGAAUAAACCUCAUUUCUUCUACAACUUGAACAUCCAGCUUACUAUACACGGGAUCUGACUUAAUGUCAUACAGACCACUUACAAUGUGAUAGAAGCAUUGGAAGCAUUUGUUGAAAAAUAACAAUUUCACUCAAAGCACACUUUAUAGAUAGAGUUUUACAUGGUCACAGAGUUAAGUCUGAACAUUUAAAGGGAUCUGAGUCAUUCAUAUUAAUAUUGUGAAUUUCUUAUAAAUAAUUCAUUUGUUCAAGGAGUCCAGGCAAAGCCAAGCCGUGACAUUAUUUACACUAAGUACCACACCUGGAACUUGUUCUGAGUUAUUUAACACAGAGUACAUUUUUCAAUGCAAUAAAUAUUUACAGUUAAUAGUAGCAAGUACAAUUAUAAUUUAUGAAAUAUGAGUCUAAUAUUUAAAACAAAACAUAAAAUGACAUUAAAGAAGUUUGUGCCAUUUAUUUUUACAACUCACCGAAUUGACUGUUUUACGAAUUUUAUUACCCAAAACUCUACUGACUUGAAUGCAAGAAAGGUCAUGUUUGAAUCAGUAAAGCCCAGACUGCAGAAAAAAAAAAACUUUUAGAAGAUAAUGAGUUUUACUUUCUUAAUGUUAUACACGUAUUAUUAAUGUCAUUAGCUAAAAUGGAAGCAAAGUUAUGAAAAUCUGGAUUCACAACAGGCUCAAAUUAUAUAAUGUACCUUCAACAUUGAAGUUCUGAGUUAUGCCAACAUUUUUAAGCUUGUCUGGGAGUUAAUGAGGCCUUGAAUGUACGAGGUUUUACUGUCCAUUAAAAUUAUUCUUUUAAAAUGUCAUAAAAUUAUGUGAGUCCUUUCAUGUCAUUAUAUGACUCUGUGAGUGAAUUUUAAAUUGGGGGAAAAAAGGCAAAUAAUCUUAUCUUCUAGAAAUGUGAGCUCAGAGAGGGCCGAGAGACAGUGGUGUCUGUGUUUAGAACAGGGCACCUAGGGCUGGGCACUCAGAUACCUAAGUCCAUAUCUGAGUUUCUUAUCUGUCCCCUUAGUCCAGGAGAUGCUUUUCUGUUAGAGGCUAUUUAUGUAGCCUGGGUCCCCAGACUCUAGGAAACCAACCAUUGUCGUAUCUUACUCUAUUUUGGGGAAAGUGGGGGCGUAGGUGGUUCUACCUCUACCUGACACUUUUUCUCCAACUAAUUCUGAUUCAAAGAAAGAUGGCUAGAUUCGCUGUUCUCAUUUGGGUUUUCUCUCUAACUUGGUCCUUAGCAAGUUUUUUUCUCUCCUCAGACACAGAACUAGGUGGGAAAUUCUUCCCAGGGCUUCCAGUUGCAAGUGAAUUGUGUCUCUGAGUAGGGGAGAAGGAGGGUGCGAACAACUGACCUAAGGGACUUUCUGACUCACCCGCUUUGUGCUGCAUUUCAGCCUCUGCCCUCAACAAUUCCUUAAACUAGGUGCCUCAAUGCUCUUUGCAUACAUUCUUUGACUCUAUCAUUAGUUCAGGUCUCUGGACAAAACCUAGAAUAGGGAGUGGAGUUUUCUUCUAAGUACUGUGAACUUAAUUUUUCACACAGGUUGGAUUUGGGAAGCAAUGCUAAGCAGUGGAAUGGACAUCGACAUAGAGAGAUCAGCUCCACACUUAUACUCUGCCACUCAACUUCCCCAUGUGACUUGAGGAUCAGUAAGUAAUCUCCCUGCCACGGCUUCAUGUGCCCAGCACUGGACUUGGCACAUUGUCAGUGUUUGGUGAAGUUGAGCCCCUUCCUUUCCAGCACUUCCAGAGCCACAGCACUCCAUUCAGGUUUUGGUCAAAUUUGGUGUAUUUCUUGGCCAGUGUCUUUGCUCCCAAGGAUCCCACCCUUCUUUGUCUUAGCCUUCCAUUUCAUUGUGGCAUUGAAUGUUGUGCCCACCAAUAUGUCUCUCCUGGGGCAGCCCACAAUGACCCUGUCCACUCCCUUGUGCCAAGUUAAACAGAUUCACUUUGGGGACAAGAGAAUAUCCUGUAAAGUGGAGAAGUGAUGAUCAGCACUGCUCUUCAGUAUAACUGAAUAGCCCAUGGGAAUGAAGUACAGUUAGUUCACCUCGAAACAAUAUGAAAUCAGAUUAAGCUGAACCAGAUGAAAUUGCCUUUUUGUAGUUCGAAAAUGGCCCAAUCUUAACAGUUUCAUGUUUCAGCCUCAUAGUUCCAUGGGCCUUUUAAUGUAAUGGUAGAUGGUCACAUUUCCAUAGUAAAGGAUGUAAAGCAGCUCUUUGGCCAGCAGGGAAGGCUUGGAUGAAAUGAGGUAAUGAGUAUAAAAGUACUUUAUAGACCAUGAACACUAGGUAAAUGCAAUGUUUUUAAAAAAAUUAGUCAUGGACAUGAUUCCACAGUAAUAUUCUAACCCAGGGAUUCUUAAAUUUAACAUAUGUGCAACAUUGAAGCUUUUUAAAAAUUUAGAUACAUUCUACUGAAUGAAUUUCUAAUGUGAAGUCUCAUAAGAGAAAAGUCUGUUCUCAGUGUGUUAUUUGUUGAUUGCUCUGAAUAUAUUCAGCUGGACUUAAUGCUUGGCCGCCUGCAAUAUAACAAAGGGUGUUUCUGAAGGCCAAAGUUACAGUAAGAGAUUGUGAGAUAGUGAAAUUGUCGUGUGUAUUUGAGAAGUGUGUGUCUGGGUGUGGGCUAGGAGAAAUGAAAUGACCAUCCAGAUACGGAAUAAAGUAGAGCUUGGUAAGCCUUGGUUUCAUCGAACAGUGUGCACAAAGCCUAGGCCCAUGAAAGCCUAGGCCCAAGAAAGAUUCUUUAAUCCCUUUGUUUUCAGCUGUUAAUCCAUUUCAUAAGAAUACAGCCAAAAAUUAGACAAGUGUACAAAAGGUGCUCCAUUCCCCCAGAAACCCAGGGAUAAUUCUAAGCUACUCUCUAACAAUAGCUACCUCCUGUUGUGGAUGUGAAGAGCACAAAUGGCAAGAAAGUUUGCACCCUUCCCAUCUCACCACGAUACAAGUGGAUGGCUCUUCAUUCAGCUUCCAUACAGUCAGCUUCCCAGGGUGAUGGUUUCUAGCUGGCUUCCAGGAACAGUGACUUAGCCACUUUUUAGUCCACAGAUGAUGCCAUUCAAUGUGUACUCCCCAAACAAAGUUAAUCUCUAUUACCAGAAGCUACUUGAUGCAUGAAGACACUUUGAAACAAAUAACCAACUGCUGCUUUUGACAUGAAUGAAGACUUUACAAUGCAAGGAUGCUCAUGUGCUAUUGUCAAGUUCAUUUAUUUCUGUUCAGUGUUCAUUUUCAUAACAAGAUGAGCUUGGUUCAUCUGCAGCAGCCCCUAAACAGUUUAUUUACCUAGGGGUUCUCCAUCCUCCCGGAUGGAACCAAAUUGUUUGUGGACAAAGAGGGAAAUCCAGAGCUUGUUAAUGAGGCGGAAGGCAGGUUCAGUGUGAGAGUGAAGGCAGUCAAAAAAACAGGGUUUAGCCAUCCACAUUUAUGGAGAAUCAUCAAAUCAACAACAGGGAGGGGCCCUGUCUUCACUAAGCAGGGAGGAUCUUCUUGCUAAAGAAUAUCACUCCCAAUAGCAGCUGCACCUUCCCUGCCAGCAGCAGCCGUUGGUGGGAAGAUUGCUUUGUUUAUUGCUUAAUCUAUCACUGUUGAGCUGCCUGCCUCAGGGAGGCUCAAUUUAAGAUAGAUUGAAAGGUAGUGUCUGUCAAUUGAAUAAACACAGAUGGUUUUCCACAGCAAAAAUUGAUUUUUUUUUCUUGCCAAAGACAUAAGUGCUAAACGUGAUUAUCUUUGGAAGCCAGGCGUGAAAUGUCUCAGCUCCAGCCCCUGCCACACUCUGCUUUGGCAGAGAAGUGAUACACGUGGGGACUUGGGUCUCUCUCACGUAAUUUUAGGUUCUUGAGGUGGAAUAAAAUAAUAAAAUUUUGAUUUCCCUAGAGAAGGGCCCAACUAUGCCCUUCCUGGUAAGAAGGUCUAAGUCAAUCCAUUAGUUGAUUCACAGAAUAGUUUUACCAGUCCUUGGUCACUGGCUGGCAAAGGCCUCCUUCAAUCCUUUCAUUUAAGAGUCUCGAAGAAGUAGUAAGAUUUGGCCGGGCACAGUGGCUCAUGCCUGUAAUCCCAGCACUUUGGGAGGCCAAGGUGGGUGGAUCACCUGCGGUCGGGAGUUCGAGACCAGCAUGACCAACGUGGAGAAACCCCAUCUCUACUAAAAAAAUACAAAAUUAGCUGGGCAUGGUGGCGCAUGCCUGUAAUCCCAGCUACUUGGGAGGCUGAGGCAGGAGAAUCCCGUGAACCCAGAAGGCAGAGGUUGCGGUGAGCCCAGAUAGUGCCAUUGCACUCCAGUCUGGGCAACAAGAGCGAAACUCCAUCUCAAAAAAAAAAAAAAAAAAAAGUAAUAAGAUUCGCCUAAGGACACACAGCUACACUUAGACCUCUAUCUCCUCACUCUUUGUCCAGAAGCUAGGAAGAAGACCACACACAAUCUAUGCCAUGAUGUUAACUGAAGGAGACAUGAAGAUGAGCUCUACUCCCAAAAUGUCUCUGGAAGCAGGUAGAUCAGAGAUGCCUGAACGAGUUAUGCUAGGUAUUCAAAAGGCUAUACAUGUUAGCAACUAACUAAGCAUAGAGUCAUUUAUAUUCAAGGGUUUUGAAGAAAGCCAAGGGCAAAAUUGUGGAACACUAGUUCAAAAUAACAGAUUCAUGGAGGUUGAAGAAGGGUGAAUAGGAAGAGUAUCCUUUGUAUAAUGAGAAGACUCAGCAAUAUGUUUUCUUAUGUCUCUUACAGCUCUAACUCCAAAACAUAGCAAGCUCGCGGAACAUCAGGGUUCAUGCAAAGUAUUCCAAGGAGCCCCUUGAAGCAACAGAAUGGAUUGCUCUUCUAUGGUGGAAUGGCACCCUGGAUGAUUAAAACCGUAGCAGCAAACAAAACCUCCAUCAAAUAUUCCUGAAAACAGAGUCAAGUUAUAUUUCUAAAGUACUAGCGUCUGCUUAAAGAAAUGACAAGGUGAAGUCUUUCACAAAGUAAGCAUUCAAUGUAUGAUUUCUCUGCUAUGUAAAUCUGGUUGUUCAUACAGUUUCUAUGACAUAAUUGGCCACGAC